UUUUGUUUAGCUCAGUGGUAGAGCAUUUGACUGCAGAUCAAGAGGUCCGUGGUUCAAACCCUGGAGCCCCCC
Molecule: non-coding RNA, 72 nt
Organism: Albula glossodonta (roundjaw bonefish)
Lineage: Eukaryota; Metazoa; Chordata; Actinopteri; Albuliformes; Albulidae
Source: the annotation of a GenBank genome assembly